RNAcentral lists this ribosomal RNA (1700 nucleotides) under Campylobacter coli. RNAcentral's name for it is "partial 23S ribosomal RNA". It matches the Rfam family "Bacterial large subunit ribosomal RNA", at positions 1243 to 2925 of the family's 2925-position model. The record is from RNAcentral. Lineage: Bacteria; Pseudomonadati; Campylobacterota; Epsilonproteobacteria; Campylobacterales; Campylobacteraceae.
AUUUGCGCCGAAGGUAUACCGGUAAGGAGUGCUGGAGCGAAUAGAAGUGAGCAUGCAGGCAUGAGUAGCGAUAAUUAAUGUGAGAAUCAUUAACGCCGUAAACCCAAGGUUUCCUACGCGAUGCUCGUCAUCGUAGGGUUAGUCGGGUCCUAAGUCGAGUCCGAAAGGGGUAGACGAUGGCAAAUUGGUUAAUAUUCCAAUACCAACAUUAGUGUGCGAUGGAAGGACGCUUAGGGCUAAGGGGGCUAGCGGAUGGAAGUGCUAGUCUAAGGUCGUAGGAGGUUAUACAGGCAAAUCCGUAUAACAUACUCCGAGAACUGAAAGGCUUUUUGAAGUCUUCGGAUGGAUAGAAGAACCCCUGAUGCCGUCGAGCCAAGAAAAGUUUCUAAGUUUAGCUAAUGUUGCCCGUACCGUAAACCGACACAGGUGGGUGGGAUGAGUAUUCUAAGGCGCGUGGAAGAACUCUCUUUAAGGAACUCUGCAAAAUAGCACCGUAUCUUCGGUAUAAGGUGUGGUUCGCUUCGUAUUAGGAUUUACUCCGAAAGCGAAGAAACUUACAACAAAGAGUCCCUCCCGACUGUUUACCAAAAACACAGCACUCUGCUAACUCGUAAGAGGAUGUAUAGGGUGUGACGCCUGCCCGGUGCUCGAAGGUUAAUUGAUGGGGUUAGCAUUAGCGAAGCUCUUGAUCGAAGCCCGAGUAAACGGCGGCCGUAACUAUAACGGUCCUAAGGUAGCGAAAUUCCUUGUCGGUUAAAUACCGACCUGCAUGAAUGGCGUAACGAGAUGGGAGCUGUCUCAAAGAGGGAUCCAGUGAAAUUGUAGUGGAGGUGAAAAUUCCUCCUACCCGCGGCAAGACGGAGAGACCCCGUGGACCUUUACUAUAGCUUGACACUGCUAUUUGGAUAAAGAUGUGCAGGAUAGGUGGGAGGCUUUGAAGCUAGGACGCCAGUUCUAGCAGAGCCAUUGUUGAGAUACCACUCUUCUUUAUUUGGGUAGCUAACCAGCUUGAGUUAUCCUCAAGUGGGACAAUGUCUGGUGGGUAGUUUGACUGGGGCGGUCGCCUCCCAAAUAAUAACGGAGGCUUACAAAGGUUGGCUCAGAACGGUUGGAAAUCGUUCGUAGAGUAUAAAGGUAUAAGCCAGCUUAACUGCAAGACAUACAAGUCAAGCAGAGACGAAAGUCGGUCUUAGUGAUCCGGUGGUUCUGUGUGGAAGGGCCAUCGCUCAAAGGAUAAAAGGUACCCCGGGGAUAACAGGCUGAUCUCCCCCAAGAGCUCACAUCGACGGGGAGGUUUGGCACCUCGAUGUCGGCUCAUCGCAUCCUGGGGCUGGAGCAGGUCCCAAGGGUAUGGCUGUUCGCCAUUUAAAGCGGUACGCGAGCUGGGUUCAGAACGUCGUGAGACAGUUCGGUCCCUAUCUGCCGUGGGCGUAAGAAGAUUGAAGAGAUUUGACCCUAGUACGAGAGGACCGGGUUGAACAAACCACUGGUGUAGCUGUUGUUCUGCCAAGAGCAUCGCAGCGUAGCUAAGUUUGGAAAGGAUAAACGCUGAAAGCAUCUAAGCGUGAAGCCAACUCUAAGAUGAAUCUUCUCUAAGCUCUCUAGAAGACUACUAGUUUGAUAGGCUGGGUGUGUAAUGGAUGAAAGUCCUUUAGCUGACCAGUACUAAUAGAGCGUUUGGCUUAUCUUUAAUAAAGCAU